AUUGAACGCUGGCGGCAGGCCUAACACAUGCAAGUCGAGCGGAUGAAGGGAGCUUGCUCCUGGAUUCAGCGGCGGACGGGUGAGUAAUGCCUAGGAAUCUGCCUGGUAGUGGGGGAUAACGUCCGGAAACGGGCGCUAAUACCGCAUACCUCCUGAGGGAGAAAGUGGGGGGUCUUCGGACCUCACGCUAUCAGAUGAGCCUAGGUCGGAUUAGCUAGUUGGUGGGGUAAAGGCCUACCAAGGCGACGAUCCGUAACUGGUCUGAGAGGAUGAUCAGUCACACUGGAACUGAGACACGGUCCAGACUCCUACGGGAGGCCGCAGUGGGGAAUAUUGGGCAAUGGGCGAAAGCCUGAUCCAGCCAUGCCGCGUGUGUGAAGAAGGUCUUCGGAUUGUAAAGCACUUUAAGUUGGGAGGAAGGGCAGUAAGUUAAGACCUUGCUGUUUUGACGUUACCAACAGAAUAAGCACCGGCUAACUUCGUG
RNAcentral lists this ribosomal RNA (484 nucleotides) under uncultured bacterium. Its description in RNAcentral is "partial 16S ribosomal RNA". It matches the Rfam family "Bacterial small subunit ribosomal RNA", at positions 30 to 507 of the family's 1533-position model. The record is from RNAcentral.